AAUAGAUACCCUGGUAGUCCUAGCCCUAAACGAUGAGUGCUUGGUGUGGCGGGUAUCGAUCCCUGCCGUGCCGAAGCUAACGCAUUAAGCACUCCGCCUGGGGAGUACGGUCGCAAGGCUGAAGCUCAAAGGAAUUGACGGGGGCCCGCACAAGCGGUGGAGCAUGUGGUUCAAUUCGACGCAACGCGAAGAACCUUACCUGGGCUUGAACUGUAGAUGACAUCCGGCGAAAGUCGGCUCCCGCAAGGGCAUCUGCAGAGGUGCUGCAUGGCUGUCGUCAGCUCGUGUCGUGAGAUGUUGGGUUAAGUCCCGCAACGAGCGCAACCCUCGUCCUCUGUUGCCAUCAGGUCAAGCUGGGCACUCUGAGGAGACUGCCGGUGAUAAACCGGAGGAAGUGGGGAUGACGUCAAGUCAGCAUGGUCUUUAUGUCCAGGGCUACACACGUGCUACAAUGGCCGAUACAAAGCGUCGCAAACUCGCGAGAGUGAGCCAAUCG
RNAcentral lists this ribosomal RNA (496 nucleotides) under uncultured bacterium. RNAcentral's name for it is "bacterial SSU rRNA". It matches the Rfam family "Bacterial small subunit ribosomal RNA", at positions 777 to 1274 of the family's 1533-position model. The record is from RNAcentral.